RNAcentral lists this small RNA (125 nucleotides) under Marmota monax (woodchuck). The record is from RNAcentral. Lineage: Eukaryota; Metazoa; Chordata; Mammalia; Rodentia; Sciuridae.
GCUAGGUGCAGUGGCAUACGCCUGUAAUCCCAGUGGCUUAGGAGGCUGAGGCAGGAGGAUCUCGAGUUCAAAGCCAGCCUCAGCAAUGGCGAAUUGCUAAGCAACUCAGUGAGAUCCUGUCUCUA